Molecule: long non-coding RNA, 1034 nt
Organism: Ovis aries (sheep)
Lineage: Eukaryota; Metazoa; Chordata; Mammalia; Artiodactyla; Bovidae
Source: Ensembl
CGGUCAUAGGUCUUCUUUGGAGCCUCUGGUAAUUUUGUUUUAGAAAGUGGUGAAGGAGAAACGAACCAAAAAGACUGAAGAUCUGAGGGCGAGAGAUACUAAAAAAGAAGGGUGAAGAAGCUCUAAAAAAAACCACAAUGUCUGUAUCAGGAACCAAGAAGAGUUCUUAAUGAUGAGACUGUUGUUGGCGUGCUAAAUGUUCUACCAAUCGGACUCUCCAUUGUGAAGAAUGUUGUCUGUGUGUAUUUCAGAUUCCUUGAGACCCAGGAAGGAUGUCUCACCACCAGCAUCCGCCUCCGCAGCCACAUCCGCAUCCACAGCCACAUCCGCAUCCGCAUCCACAGCCACAUCCGCAUCCUCAUCCGCAGCCACAUCCGCAGCCACAGCCGCAGCCGCAGCCGCUUCCACAGCCGAAGCCGCAGCCGCUUCCACAACCGCAUCCACAUCCACUUCCGCAGCCGCGGCCGCUUCCGCAGCCGAAGCCGCAGCCACAUCUGCAGCCGCAGCCGAAGCUGAAGCUGCAGCCGCAUCCACAUCAGCAUUAGCAUCAUCAUCAGUGCAAGGAGCGCUGUCAUCCACCUCCAGUAGCGUGCCCACCGAAGUGCCAUGAGCCUUGCCCACCUCAUCCAUGCCCACCUCCAGUGAGCCAGCAGAAAUGCCCUCCUGGACCACCAUGCCCACCAUGUGAGCACAAGUGUCCACCCAAGUGGAAGUACAGCACCAGAUUUCAUCUGGACCAAGAAACAAGAUCCAGCCUCUUCCAUUGUCCUCCCUUCGGCCAUGGUAAUGGACUGCAUCUUCCUUAACCUCCCCCCUCAACCGACAGCUGACAGAGGAAAGGCUUGCUUUCUGAAGCUGACACCGCAUUGUUGGAAGAAGAGCAGGAGAAUCAUCGCUUGAUCUCUCUGUGCUAUGUGCCCAUCUGUAAACCACAUUGUGAUCUCUACCCGGUGAGGAAUUAAUGUGUCUAUUCCUUUGCUUCUCCAAUAAAGUUUAUUCAUAGUCCAUUAUGUAUUUCUUUCUUUAGUUUUUUU